Long non-coding RNA from Cyprinus carpio (common carp), 673 nucleotides. RefSeq lists it as uncharacterized. The record is from RefSeq and is a predicted model, not a curated record. Lineage: Eukaryota; Metazoa; Chordata; Actinopteri; Cypriniformes; Cyprinidae. The transcript is spliced from 5 exons.
CGAUUGGUGGGAUGACCUGGUCGAGCAGUUUCAUACUGGUGCGUUUCCAGAUCUUCUUAAUAAUGGCACGCAGCUCUUCAUUGGCCUGCUCAAAAUUACCUGACGGAUGAAAAUUCAGAGAAUUUGUGCUUUAAUAGUUCUGACCAGAGCGAACAGCGUGGCAUUGAACGUCACGGUUCCAUCACUGUUCAGAGGCAUGUUCAUGGAAAUCAAUCUCUGGAAAUAAACACGGCAACACGAUGGGGGCAAAACUUUCCGAACCCAAGCGGUGGCUGGAUUCUCCGCAGCAGCGUCACGACAUCCAGGACGUUUCCUAUCAGAUGUCAAAGAGACGUCUAUUAGAUGUGGAGCAUCAGACCUGGAAUGAUUUGAUGAAGGUCCACAGCAGGUUGCGAAUGCCCUCAAAACGGUUGAGCAGUUUCACCAGACGCAUGACACGGAAAAGCCGGAAGAGUGUGAUUGACACGCUCAUAUUCUCAGAGUCCUGAGGAACCAAUAAAAACACUUGAGAAUCUGUGGAUAACACCAGCAUAGAUCUUCUUGAACAGCCAGUGAGACAAUACAGUCCACCCUGAGCAGCAAGAGCCGCCUGGAGAUAAAGAAAUUACCAGAGAAAAUGAGUGAAAGCCCAUAUCAGCACUCACUGAGAAUGAUACAACAGUUAAAGUCAGGU